This is a non-coding RNA of Echinostoma caproni, 45 nucleotides long. NCBI's taxonomy places the organism in Eukaryota, Metazoa, Platyhelminthes, Trematoda, Plagiorchiida, Echinostomatidae. The record is from Rfam.
GCACCGCUGACGAGUCCCAAACAAGACGAAACAGGUGUUCAGUGC